GACAAGGGAGGAUACAUAUGGAUAUGACGCUACAAACCAUAAGGAACAGAGGAGCAAUGGGGAAUAGGUGUAAACACAUUCAAACACACCCACAACCUCUAAUUCCAUCCUCUUCUUGACUCCAUUAUUCACAAAAUUUUUUCUGUAUUUUCCCUUUUCUUUUUGUUUUUUUUUUUCAUUUUGUCUCUUUUUUUUUCUAAUCAACACACAAUUCAAAAGACAAGAUACAUGAUAUUUAAAGUGCAACCGCAAGACGAGGACUCACUAGACAAUUCAUCUGUAACUCCUAAGAGACC
Molecule: long non-coding RNA, 296 nt
Filed under: Vigna radiata
Lineage: Eukaryota; Viridiplantae; Streptophyta; Magnoliopsida; Fabales; Fabaceae
Description: long non-coding RNA (VRAD_LNC012285)
Source: RNAcentral